RNAcentral lists this transfer RNA (65 nucleotides) under Erianthus versicolor. Its description in RNAcentral is "tRNA-Ala". Lineage: Eukaryota; Metazoa; Arthropoda; Insecta; Orthoptera; Chorotypidae. The record is from RNAcentral.
AGGGUUAUAGUUAAAUAUAACAUCUGGGUUGCAUUCAGAAAGUAUUGAUAAAUUCAAUUUACCUU